UGCAGCAGGCGCGAAAACUUUACAAUGCGGGAAACCGUGAUAAGGGGACACCGAGUGCCAGCAUCAUAUGCUGGCUGUCCAGGUGUGUAAAAUACACCUGUUAGCAAGGGCCGGGCAAGACCGGUGCCAGCCGCCGCGGUAACACCGGCGGCCCGAGUGGUGAUCGUGAUUAUUGGGUCUAAAGGGUCCGUAGCCGGUUUGGUCAGUCCUCCGGGAAAUCUGACGGCUUAACCGUUAGGCUUUCGGGGGAUACUGCCAGGCUUGGAACCGGGAGAGGUAAGAGGUACUACAGGGGUAGGAGUGAAAUCUUGUAAUCCCUGUGGGACCACCUGUGGCGAAGGCGUCUUACCAGAACGGGUUCGACGGUGAGGGACGAAAGCUGGGGGCACGAACCGGAUUAGAUACCCGGGUAGUCCCAGCCGUAAACGAUGCUCGCUAGGUGUCAGGCAUGGCGCGACCGUGUCUGGUGCCGCAGGGAAGCCGUGAAGCGAGCCACCUGGGAAGUACGGCCGCAAGGCCGAAACUUAAAGGAAUUGGCGGGGGAGCAC
This 548-nucleotide ribosomal RNA is filed under the name uncultured archaeon. Its description in RNAcentral is "bacterial SSU rRNA". It matches the Rfam family "Archaeal small subunit ribosomal RNA", at positions 331 to 879 of the family's 1478-position model. The record is from RNAcentral.